UAUGCUGAAAGCCAUCUUAAAUAAGCAUACCAAGUAAAACCAGUAUGCUUACUAUGGCCUGCAGCUUCACAACAGAUUUUUUGGCUGUUCAUUUCCACUCAGAUGGCUGCUCCUCUGCAGACGGAUGCAAAUUCUGAAACUUGAACAGGCAGUACACACGCGGGAUGAGAUGGAUUCGUUGCGUGAGCAGUGAGAAAUUAGCAGCUUAGGUUGCAAUGUGCUGGUUUCGUCUCAACGAGAGGAAACAUGAGACCUGAAUUUCCACGAGGGGAGACUCAGUGAAGCUAGAAUGCAGGCCCCAAAAAUGGUGGACCAGGGGAACCAACAAGCAAGUCAAAUGAAGACAGGCUGUCACAGUGUGAAUCACCUCCUGUUGUGUGGAACCAGGUACUCUGACAAUAUCCACUGUGACAUGGGAAGGACAGACAUCAUCGAUGGUAUCAUCAAUGUACAGAGAUUACUGCCCUACUAAAGCAAUGGACAACAACACUUGCAUCUUAAAGACAAGUAGGAAUUAUCUGGGGUAAAGGUAUCAGAGGAAGGAGCCGGAAAAUGGAUAACAGGCAGAGGAAACAGCACAUUUGAAAGCCCAAGGCACUGCUCUGAGGUUUUUGAGGUGAACAUGUAGCUCUUUGGUUUUUAAUUUUUCUCUUCCUUCAUAUAUGUUUUUAAGGUAAUACAUUUUCCUUCAAGGAGAGCUUUUACUCUGUUACACAUCUGGGGUUUUGGGUCAGUUCUUUCUGUUUUUCUUUUUUUGUUUAUUUUUGAGCGAGAAAGAGAGACAGAGUGUGAGUGGGAGAGAAGAGA
Long non-coding RNA from Herpailurus yagouaroundi (jaguarundi), 807 nucleotides. RefSeq lists it as uncharacterized. The transcript has 4 exons. Lineage: Eukaryota; Metazoa; Chordata; Mammalia; Carnivora; Felidae. The record is from RefSeq and is a predicted model, not a curated record.